GAUGAACGCUAGCUACAGGCUUAACACAUGCAAGUCGAGGGGAAACGACAUCGAAAGCUUGCUUUUGAUGGGCGUCGACCGGCUCACGGGUGAGUAACGCGUAUCCAACCUGCCCAUCACUUGGGAAUAACCUUGCGAAAGUAAGACUAAUACCCAAUGAUAUCCCACGAAGGCAUCGGAAUGGGAUUAAAGAUUUAUCGGUGAUGGAUGGGGAUGCGUCUGAUUAGCUUGUUGGCGGGGUAACGGCCCACCAAGGCAACGAUCAGUAGGGGUUCUGAGAGGAAGGUCCCCCACAUUGGAACUGAGACACGGUCCAAACUCCUACGGGAGGCAGCAGUGAGGAAUAUUGGUCAAUGGGCGAGAGCCUGAACCAGCCAAGUAGCGUGCAGGAAGACGGCCCUAUGGGUUGUAAACUGCUUUUAUAAGGGAAUAAAGUGGGUCACGUGUGACUUUUUGCAUGUACCUUAUGAAUAAGGACCGGCUAAUUCCGUG
RNAcentral lists this ribosomal RNA (492 nucleotides) under uncultured bacterium. Its description in RNAcentral is "partial 16S ribosomal RNA". It matches the Rfam family "Bacterial small subunit ribosomal RNA", at positions 28 to 507 of the family's 1533-position model. The record is from RNAcentral.